This is a long non-coding RNA of Pygocentrus nattereri (red-bellied piranha), 1945 nucleotides long. Lineage: Eukaryota; Metazoa; Chordata; Actinopteri; Characiformes; Serrasalmidae. The record is from Ensembl.
GAGGAUAUCAAGCCAAAAAUGAAAACUUUAGAGGAAAAGUUCAUUUUAUUUCAUGCAGUUAAGCAGACCAAAAACAAUUAUGCCAUAUAAAGAAUCAAGCCCAGCAUGUACAAAGCCAGAUAAACCGUUCAAAAUGCUUCACCAGUUUCUACAAGACGAAGAAAUCAUCAGAAUAGCUGCCUUGAAAGUGGAAGAGGAGACGAAGAGUUGGAUCAUAACGAUGAAAAUUAAUGAACUGGAAAAUGCAUAUCAAACCUUUCCAGGACAAUUGAAGCCAUAAAGACCGAACUGAGCAGAAAUGACACUGCUUUCCUUCAGAUUCUGUGCAGAGGAACAAAGGCUGACCUCCUUUUGGCAGUGGGAUUUGGGAUCUGGGAUGUUAUAACGGUCGAUACACUGUCGAUUAAAGUCCAUCUGGACUGGAACAACAGGGAACUAUUCUCAGGGGCUCUUAUUAACACACAGUUUGUAUUAUUUAAGAAUUUCUUUUACUGAGAGGGUCUUUCCCCAUAUUUGGAAUAGAAGUGGCAAUCCACUGAGAAAUUUACCAAUAAAGACUUUUAUAACAGUGGAACAGAGGAAUCAGAGAUUAACAAUUUAAGACAGCAUCCAGAAAAUUAUUUCACUGGCAUAAAUUUGUUAUUAAUUCCAAAAAGGUUGGGACAGCAUGUGAUUAGUACACUUCACUUGACCUGUAUAUAAAUGGAAAACUGUGCAAAAAACACAAUACUUAAUGUUUUAUCUUUUGAACUUUAUGUAUUUGUUUAUGUAUUUAUUUCAAGUCAAAAUUUGGGUUCAAGCCCCCAUGAGGAACAAGCCAAUAACAACAGCAGGAAAGAAAAUGUCGUUGAGGAAAAACUCUCUAUUUUUAUGUUUAAAAAGAUCUGUUCAUUCUAAAUGUGAUGCCUCCAACACUUAACUUUACACCUUAAUAAUAUGGAUGGUCCUUUUCGUUUUUUGGCCUGGAGAACAUGAUGUCUGUUAUUUCUAUAAGCAUUCUGAAAGGUUGACUUGUCAGAGUACAGCACACAUUUCUACUGUGUAAUAGUUCUUUUCAGGUGAGUUUGAGCUUGAAGUGAAAUACCUGAAAUCUAUUAUUGAGGGAUGUUGUUUUUAAACUGUUAGAUUAUUUACUGAUACAUAUUUUGGUGCCAAGCCUUACUCCUGGAUAUCCUUGUUCCUGGAAGCUUCUUUUAUGCUGAAACAUUACUGGUUUAAGAUGUCUUAAAUUGCCCUUGUCCCAACCUGUACAUGUUACUGGCAUCAAUUUCAGAUUUGCAAAAACAAUGAGGUUGAAAAACCAAAACAUUAUAUAAAUAUUUCUGUAAAUUUGUAAACUUACAUUUUUAAGUUAGAUUAUUGUCUUCCAGCACAGACGAUACCUGUACAGAUAUUACCUACACUUUUUAUUUUUACAAUACUCAAAAAGUGAUGUAAUUAAUCUUGUAGCUUUGUCUGCUUCUAUUAUAGAUAUUCCUUAUCUUGUUGAUCUCCCUUAAACAAUCAUGUGUAAUGUGUCUUAUUGACAUAAACAAAUUGGAAUGUAAUCAAAGGUGCUUAGUUUUAGAUAUAAAGUUUUGGAGACAUUAAUGUCUUUCAGUGUAUAUAAGUUGUAACUGCAAAUGUUCCUUCUCUUCACAAUUGGCAGAAAUUACUAUGCCAUGAAUCAGAAAAUGGAUAUGUAUAAAAUGUAUUCCAUGUGCAGAUAAAAUGUAAUCAAACAAAGAUAAAUCUUUCUUUAUUCACAACAGUGCAUGCCUACCUUACCAGAUGUUUAACUUACUAGAAUCAGAUAAUGUAGCUAUUUAUGGAAACAGAACCAUUUUGAGAGAAUUCCAUAACCCCAGUAUUACAUGCCACUACAUUCAUUCUUCUUAAAGAUUUAGUGCUUAAUUUAGUUGUAACUCACUGUCAACAUCGUGAGCCAAAAGUUCAGAAUCUGUCA